AGCAGCCGCGGUAAUUCCAGCUCCAAUAGCGUAUAUUAAAGUUGUUGCAGUUAAAAAAGCUCGUAGUUGAAUUUCGGGAUCAAUAUAUCGGUCGUGCCUUGGUACGUACUGGUAUCAUUGGUUUCUCCUUUCUGACGAACCAUGAUGUCAUUAAUUUGGUGUUAUGGGAAGUUAGGACUGUUACUUUGAAAAAAAUUAGAGUGUUUAAAGCAGGCUUUAGCUUGAAUACAUUAGCAUGGAAUAAUGAAAUAGGACGUUCGAACCUAUUUUGUUGGUUUCUAGGAUCAACGUAAUGAUUAAUAGGGAUAGUUGGGGGCAUUAGUAUUCAAUUGUCAGAGGUGAAAUUCUUGGAUUUAUUGAAGACUAACUACUGCGAAAGCAUUUGCCAAGGAUGUUUUCAUUAAUCAAGAACGAAAGUUAGGGGAUCGAAGACGAUCAGAUACCGUCGUAGUCUUAACCAUAAACUAUGCCGACUAGGGAUCGGAUGAUGUUAAUUUUUUUCAACGACUCAUUCGGCGCC
Molecule: unclassified non-coding RNA, 520 nt
Filed under: uncultured Glomus
Lineage: Eukaryota; Fungi; Glomeromycota; Glomeromycetes; Glomerales; Glomeraceae
Description: SSU rRNA
Rfam family: Eukaryotic small subunit ribosomal RNA
Source: RNAcentral